AGGGCGGCAGAGGAUGAGAUGGCUAGAUAGCAUCGCCAAUUCAAUGGACUUGAAUCUGAGCAAACUCCAGGAGAUGGUGAAGGACAGAGAAGCCUGCUGUGCUGCAGUCCAUGGGGUCCCGAAGAGUUGGAUAAACCCUACGUGAACACCGAAAACUCCACCGGCUGAACUGAGGUGUGUAGGAGAACACACUCAACACUUCAGAUGUCUCCCAGUUUCCUUCUAACCCUCGUCCACACUGGAGUUAUGACUUUCCAACCACCUCACCAAUACCUCAGAAGCUGCAAUUCUUCUGACGGCUACUUCCAGCUUCAAGCUUCAGAUAAAGAAUCAAGCUUCAGAUGAAGAAUCAUAUCUUUUGCAGUGAAAAAAAAAAGUGAAAGUGUUAGUUGCUCACUCGUGUCCCAUUCUUUUCAACUCCAUGGACUGUAGCCCACCCGGCUCCUCUGUCCAUGGGACUCUCCAGGCCAGAAUACUGGAGUGGUUGCCAUUUCCUUCUUCAGGAGACUGAACCCAGGUCUCCUGCAUGCAAGAGGAUUCUUUAUCAUCUGAGCCACUAGGGAAGCCCCCUAGUAUUUAUGUCUUUUUUAAAAACAAUUUAACUUGUGCAACUGUGUUAACCUUUUUUUUACUAGGUUCCCAUCUUUAUUCAUUUUUGGCUGUGCUGGGUCUCCACUGCUGAAUGCAGGCUUUCUCUGGUUGCAGCGCGUGGGCUUCUCGUUGCAGUGGCAUCUCUUGUUGCGGAGUAUGGGCUCAGUAGGGGUUGGGUGUGGGCUUAGUUGCCUCACGGCAGGUGGAAUCUCCCCCAACCAGGGAUUGAGCCUGUGUCCCCUACACUGGCAGACAAUUUCUUAACCACUGGGCCGCCAGGGAAGUCCCAUGCUCCCAUCUUUUUAAAACUGUAUCAUUGAUGAAGUAUUUUGAGUAUCCUGCCCUAACCUCAUUUCCCCCGUAAGUCCUGUAUUUUUUAUUAUGCAAUUUUGUAUGACACCCUGAAUUUUAAGAAUGCUUCUGAUACAUCUUAGCUAAACUGACCAUAUUUGUUGAAUAGCUGGAUAAAUGCUUGCCUUUCUGAAUGAAACCCCAAUU
Long non-coding RNA from Bos taurus (domestic cattle), 1089 nucleotides. NCBI's taxonomy places the organism in Eukaryota, Metazoa, Chordata, Mammalia, Artiodactyla, Bovidae. The record is from Ensembl.